GAGGAACGCUGGCGGCGUGCUUAACACAUGCAAGUCGAACGAUGAAGCCCAGCUUGCUGGGUGGAUUAGUGGCGAACGGGUGAGUAACACGUGAGUAACCUGCCCUUAACUCUGGGAUAAGCCUGGGAAACUGGGUCUAAUACCGGAUAGGAGCGUCCACCGCAUGGUGGGUGUUGGAAAGAUUUAUCGGUUUUGGAUGGACUCGCGGCCUAUCAGCUUGUUGGUGAGGUAAUGGCUCACCAAGGCGACGACGGGUAGCCGGCCUGAGAGGGUGACCGGCCACACUGGGACUGAGACACGGCCCAGACUCCUACGGGAGGCAGCAGUGGGGAAUAUUGCACAAUGGGCGCAAGCCUGAUGCAGCGACGCCGCGUGAGGGAUGACGGCCUUCGGGUUGUAAACCUCUUUCAGUAGGGAAGAAGCGAAAGUGACGGUACCUGCAGAAGAAGCACCGGCUAACUACGUG
Molecule: ribosomal RNA, 466 nt
Filed under: uncultured bacterium
Lineage: Bacteria
Description: partial 16S ribosomal RNA
Rfam family: Bacterial small subunit ribosomal RNA
Source: RNAcentral